Molecule: ribosomal RNA, 417 nt
Filed under: Cardamine hirsuta (hairy bittercress)
Lineage: Eukaryota; Viridiplantae; Streptophyta; Magnoliopsida; Brassicales; Brassicaceae
Description: eukaryotic LSU rRNA
Rfam family: Eukaryotic large subunit ribosomal RNA (bases 277-417)
Source: RNAcentral
UGCAGAAUCCCGUGAACCAUCGAGUCUUUGAACGCAAGUUGCGCCCCAAGCCUUCUGGCCGAGGGCACGUCUGCCUGGGUGUCACAAACCGUCGUCCCUUCUCAUCCUCAAAAGAUGUGGGACGGAAGCUGGUCUCCCGUGUGUUACCGCACGCGGUUGGCCAAAAUCCGAGCUAAGGACGUCAAGAGCGUCACGACAUGCGGUGGUGAACUAAAUCCUCUUCGUAUAGUCGGUCGUUCUUGUCCGUAUGCUCUCGAUGACCCAAAGUCCACAAAGCGACCCCAGGUCAGGCGGGAUCACCCGCUGAGUUUAAGCAUAUCAAUAAGCGGAGGAGAAGAAACUAACAAGGAUUCCCUUAGUAGCGGCGAGCGAACCGGGAAGAGCCCAGCUUGAAAAUCGAAUGUCUUUGGCAUUCGA